RNAcentral lists this ribosomal RNA (499 nucleotides) under uncultured bacterium. RNAcentral describes it as "bacterial SSU rRNA". It matches the Rfam family "Bacterial small subunit ribosomal RNA", at positions 29 to 518 of the family's 1533-position model. The record is from RNAcentral.
AUGAACGCUAGCGACAGGCUAACACAUGCAAGUCGAGGGGUAACAGGGUAGCAAUACCGCUGACGACCGGCGCACGGGUGAGUAACGCGUAUGCAACCUGCCUAGUAACUGGGGAGUAGCUCCCUGAAAGGGGAAUUAACACCGCAUAACACUAUUGAUUCGCAUGGAUUAGUAGUUAAAUGUAGCGAUACAGGUUAUAGAUGGGCAUGCGUGACAUUAGCUAGUUGGUGAGGUAACGGCUCACCAAGGCUACGAUGUCUAGGGGUUCUGAGAGGAAGGUCCCCCCACACUGGUACUGAGACACGGACCAGACUCCUACGGGAGGCAGCAGUGAGGAAUAUUGGUCAAUGGGCGCAAGCCUGAACCAGCCAUGUCGCGUGCAGGAAGAACCUGCCCUAUGGGUUGUAAACUGCUUUUAUAGUAGAAGAAACACAUCUACGUGUAGAUGUCUGCCAGUAUACUAUGAAUAAGCAUCGGCUAACUCCGUGCCAGCCGCCGC